CUAAGUUGCGGUUCACAUUGAAAGUAUCAACGUCAACGAAAGUGAAUCUUAAUCGAACCUAACCUACAUGGAUAAAAAUAUAAACCAUGGAAAGACACGUUAGUGUGUUACUGGAGGUCGAGAUUCCUAAAAUGAAACAAUGCAGCAGCAGUCAACUUCAUCACUGUCCCUUCUGCAUAUAUAAGGCUGAACAAUGUAUGGUCAACAACCACACCAAAGGCCAACAACCACAUCGAAGGUCAUGCUUCAGUGAGGCACAGAGAGUUCACAAUCAUAAAGUGUGGCUUCAGUUGUAGAAAUGUGACACUUUCGUUGUUGCUAUUGCACGGCAACAAUAAUCAACAGAGC
This is a long non-coding RNA of Salvelinus sp. IW2-2015, 348 nucleotides long. RefSeq lists it as uncharacterized. NCBI's taxonomy places the organism in Eukaryota, Metazoa, Chordata, Actinopteri, Salmoniformes, Salmonidae. The record is from RefSeq and is a predicted model, not a curated record.